UGCGCAGCUACCAUGCAAGUCGAGCGGAUGAAGGGAGCUUGCUCCCUGAUUUAGCGGCGGACGGGUGAGUAAUGCCUAGGAAUCUGCCUGGUAGUGGGGGAUAACGUUCCGAAAGGAACGCUAAUACCGCAUACGUCCUACGGGAGAAAGCAGGGGACCUUCGGGCCUUGCGCUAUCAGAUGAGCCUAGGUCGGAUUAGCUAGUUGGUGAGGUAAUGGCUCACCAAGGCGACGAUCCGUAACUGGUCUGGGAGGAUGAUCAGUCACACUGGAACUGAGACACGGUCCAGACUCCUACGGGAGGCAGCAGUGGGGAAUAUUGGACAAUGGGCGAAAGCCUGAUCCAGCCAUGCCGCGUGUGUGAAGAAGGUCUUCGGAUUGUAAAGCACUUUAAGUUGGGAGGAAGGGCAGUAAGCUAAUACCUUGCUGUUUUGACGUUACCGACAGAAUAAGCACCGGCUAACUUCGUGCCAGCAGCCGCGGUAAUACGAAGGGUGCAAGCGUUAAUCGGAAUUACUGGGCGUAAAGCGCGCGUAGGUGGUUCGUUAAGUUGGAUGUGAAAGCCCCGGGCUCAACCUGGGAACUGCAUCCAAAACUGGCGAGCUAGAGUACGGUAGAGGGUGGUGGAAUUUCCUGUGUAGCGGUGAAAUGCGUAGAUAUAGGAAGGAACACCAGUGGCGAAGGCGACCACCCUGGACUGAUACUGACACUGAGGUGCGAAA
This 721-nucleotide ribosomal RNA is filed under the name uncultured bacterium. Its description in RNAcentral is "bacterial SSU rRNA". It matches the Rfam family "Bacterial small subunit ribosomal RNA", at positions 43 to 758 of the family's 1533-position model. The record is from RNAcentral.